AGAAUCAACGCUGGCGGCGUGCCUAACACAUGCAAGUCGAACGAGAAAGGGGUAGCAAUACCCUGAGUAAAGUGGCGCACGGGUGAGUAACACGUGACUAACCUACCCUUGAGUGGGGGAUAACUGAGGGAAACCUUAGCUAAUACCGCAUAAUACCCACGGGUCAAAAGGAGCAAUUCGCUCGAGGAGGGGGUCGCGGCCGAUUAGUUAGUUGGCGGGGUAAUGGCCCACCAAGACGAUGAUCGGUA
This 248-nucleotide ribosomal RNA is filed under the name uncultured bacterium. RNAcentral's name for it is "partial small subunit ribosomal RNA". It matches the Rfam family "Bacterial small subunit ribosomal RNA", at positions 26 to 285 of the family's 1533-position model. The record is from RNAcentral.